RNAcentral lists this ribosomal RNA (397 nucleotides) under uncultured bacterium. RNAcentral describes it as "partial 16S ribosomal RNA". It matches the Rfam family "Bacterial small subunit ribosomal RNA", at positions 523 to 918 of the family's 1533-position model. The record is from RNAcentral.
AUACGUAGGGGGCGAGCGUUGUCCGGAAUGAUUGGGCGUAAAGGGCGCGAAGGCGGCCCGGUAAGUCUGGAGUGAAAGUCCUGUUUUUAAGAUGGGAAUUGCUUUGGAUACUGUCGGGCUUGAGUGCAGGAGAGGUAAGUGGAAUUCCCAGUGUAGCGGUGAAAUGCGUAGAGAUUGGGAGGAACACCAGUGGCGAAGGCGACUUACUGGACUGUAACUGACGCUGAGGCGCGAAAGUGUGGGGAGCAAACAGGAUUAGAUACCCUGGUAGUCCACACUGUAAACGAUGAAUGCUAGGUGUAGGGGGUAUCGACCCCUUCUGUGCCGCAGUCAACACAAUAAGCAUUCCGCCUGGGGAGUACGGCCGCAAGGUUGAAACUCAAAUGAAUUGACGGGG